Long non-coding RNA from Populus euphratica (Euphrates poplar), 814 nucleotides. RefSeq lists it as uncharacterized. Lineage: Eukaryota; Viridiplantae; Streptophyta; Magnoliopsida; Malpighiales; Salicaceae. The record is from RefSeq and is a predicted model, not a curated record. The transcript has 4 exons.
CUGACUGCUGAGGUUUUUCCUAAACCAUUCUGUCUCCUUGCCAUCUUUGACUUUCUAGCCUCUCUCUCUCUACGCAGACUCUGUGGCUACCGGUUCUGCCUUGAUUAACAAAUCAACUAAAAAAGAUUGAAUCUUUUUGAAUCAAACCGUUUCUGGAAAGUGGGUUUUGAUUUUAGCCAGGGUUUAUUCAGGACAAAGAAGAUUUCAGCCCUGGAAGUUUCAGGAAGAACAAAAACAAAGUGUCAUCCUCAAAGAAUGCUAUUUCUAGAAGGGCUCACAAGGAGAGAGCACAACCGCAAACGAGGACAAAAUUUGGGCUGCUUGAGAAACAUAAAGACUAUGUUGACCGUGCUAAGCUUUUCACAAAAAAGAGGAAACUUUAAGGGAAUGAUGCCGUGAAAGAAGUGAAAUUCCUUCAGUUGGAUUGCCAACCAAGCUUGGCAGAUAAGCUCCAUGUCAGCUGGAAGAACUGACUGUCCAAUUAAGAGGAUGUUGAUCUCAGCUGCCGGUGCACCUAGGAGUUUUGAUCAUCCUCUUUCAAUCUGUCAUCUGUAUCACUCCUUUACAUCCAUAAUCCUGUAGUUUUUAACGAAAUAAGAAGCAAGCAAAACAUGCAAUCAGCUCUUAAUUAAGGGCAGCAUUUUUAACUUUUGAUACGUACGUGUGACAAUGUACAAAAACCUCAACCUGGAACAUGCAAUCAGUUCUGACAAUCAUUUCUUUUGAUUGGAACAACAACUGAUUCUAGAAAUGUAUUCAAAAUAUUUAACAUUGAAGAUUGCCUAAAAAUUGAAUUCUCACGAUCCCCGACUCG